UACCAUGCAGUCGAGCGGAUGAAGGGAGCUUGCUCUCUGAUUCAGCGGCGGACGUGUGAGUAAUGCCUAGGAAUCUGCCUAUUAGUGGGGGACAACGUUUCGAAAGGAACGCUAAUACCGCAUACGUCCUACGGGAGAAAGCAGGGGACCUUCGGGCCUUGCGCUAAUAGAUGAGCCUAGGUCGGAUUAGCUAGUUGGUGAGGUAAAGGCUCACCAAGGCAACGAUCCGUAACUGGUCUGAGAGGAUGAUCAGUCACACUGGAACUGAGACACGGUCCAGACUCCUACGGGAGGCAGCAGUGGGGAAUAUUGGACAAUGGGCGAAAGCCUGAUCCAGCCAUGCCGCGUGUGUGAAGAAGGUCUUCGGAUUGUAAAGCACUUUAAGUUGGGAGGAAGGGCAGUAAGUUAAUACCUUGCUGUUUUGACGUUACCGACAGAAUAAGCACCGGCUAACUUCGUGCCAGCAGCCGCGGUAAUACGAAGGGUGCAAGCGUUAAUCGGAAUUACUGGGCGUAAAGCGCGCGUAGGUGGUUCGUUAAGUUGGAUGUGAAAGCCCCGGGCUCAACCUGGGAACUGCAUCCAAAACUGGCGAGCUAGAGUAUGGCAGAGGGUGGUGGAAUUUCCUGUGUAGCGGUGAAAU
RNAcentral lists this ribosomal RNA (640 nucleotides) under bacterium Co.J10. RNAcentral's name for it is "bacterial SSU rRNA". It matches the Rfam family "Bacterial small subunit ribosomal RNA", at positions 52 to 687 of the family's 1533-position model. The record is from RNAcentral.